AGUGUGCUGGAGGUAUCAGAAGUGCGAAUGCUGACAUGAGUAACGAUAAUGUGGGUGAAAAGCCCACACGCCGGAAGUCCCAGGUUUCCUGCACGACGUUAAUCGGAGCAGGGUGAGUCGGCCCCUAAGGCGAGGCUGAAGAGCGUAGUCGAUGGGAACCAGGUUAAUAUUCCUGGACUUUUUAUAAGUGGUGAAGUGGGGACGAAGAAGGCUAGGUGAGCCAGGCGUUGGUUGUCCUGGUACUUGCAUGUAGGGGGGAAGACUUGGCAAAUCCGGUUUUCCAUAACUCUGAGGUGCGAAGUGGUUCUGACCUUUUGGUACAGAGAAGUCAUUGAUGCCCGGCUUCCAGGAAAAGCUGCUAGCCAUAACUUAUAGAGAACCGUACCGCAAACCGACACAGGUGGACAGGUAGAGAAUACUAAGGCGCUUGAGAGAACUCGGGUGAAGGAACUAGGCAAAAUGGUACCGUAACUUCGGGAGAAGGUACGCCCUUUCUGGUGAUGGGAUUUACUUUCAGAGCUGGAGAGGGCCGCAGAGACCAGGUGGCUGCGACUGUUUAUUAAAAACACAGCACUCUGCAAAUUCGUAAGAAGACGUAUAGGGUGUGACGCCUGCCCGGUGCCGGAAGGUUAAUUGAUGGGGUUAUCUUCGGAGAAGCUCUUGAUCGAAGCCCCGGUAAACGGCGGCCGUAACUAUAACGGUCCUAAGGUAGCGAAAUUCCUUGUCGGGUAAGUUCCGACCUGCACGAAUGGCGUAACGAUGGCCACACUGUCUCCACCCGAGACUCAGUGAAAUUGAAAUCGCUGUGAAGAUGCAGUGUACCCGCGGCUAGACGGAAAGACCCCGUGAACCUUUACUAUAGUUUUGCACUGGACUUUGAUGAUGACUGUGUAGGAUAGGUGGGAGGCUGUGAAGUGAGGACGCUAGUUCUCAUGGAGCCGCCCUUGAAAUACCACCCUGUUGUUAUUGAGGUUCUAACUUGGUCCAGUAAUCCUGGAUGAGGACAGUGUAUGAUGGGUAGUUUGACUGGGGCGGUCUCCUCCCAAAGAGUAACGGAGGAGCACAAAGGUACCCUCGGUACGGUCGGACAUCGUACCAAGAGUGUAAAGGCAAAAGGGUGCUUGACUGCGAGAGUGACGGCUCGAGCAGGAACGAAAGUUGGUCUUAGUGAUCCGGUGGUUCUGAAUGGAAGGGCCAUCGCUCAACGGAUAAAAGGUACUCCGGGGAUAACAGGCUGAUACCGCCCAAGAGUUCAUAUCGACGGCGGUGUUUGGCACCUCGAUGUCGGCUCAUCACAUCCUGGGGCUGAAGCAGGUCCCAAGGGUAUGGCUGUUCGCCAUUUAAAGUGGUACGCGAGCUGGGUUUAGAACGUCGUGAGACAGUUCGGUCCCUAUCUGCCGUGGGCGUAGGAAAAUUGAGAGGAGCUGCUCCUAGUACGAGAGGACCGGAGUGGACGAACCUCUGGUGCACCGGUUGUCACGCCAGUGGCAUGGCCGGGUAGCUAAGUUCGGACGGGAUAACCGCUGAAAGCAUCUAAGCGGGAAGCCUCCCUCAAGAUGAGUUUUCCCAUGAAGCCCGUUGAAGACUACGACGUUGAUAGGCAAGGUGUGGAAGCGCAGUAAUGCGUGAAGCUAACUUGUACUAAUUGGCUGAUUGUCUUGACCAUAUAAUCUGAG
This 1676-nucleotide ribosomal RNA is filed under the name Legionella pneumophila. RNAcentral describes it as "partial 23S ribosomal RNA". It matches the Rfam family "Bacterial large subunit ribosomal RNA", at positions 1267 to 2925 of the family's 2925-position model. Lineage: Bacteria; Pseudomonadati; Pseudomonadota; Gammaproteobacteria; Legionellales; Legionellaceae. The record is from RNAcentral.